RNAcentral lists this ribosomal RNA (301 nucleotides) under uncultured bacterium. Its description in RNAcentral is "partial 16S ribosomal RNA". It matches the Rfam family "Bacterial small subunit ribosomal RNA", at positions 509 to 807 of the family's 1533-position model. The record is from RNAcentral.
CAGUAGCCGCGGUAAUACAGAGGGUGCGAGCGUUAAUCGGAUUUACUGGGCGUAAAGCGUGCGUAGGCGGCUUCUUAAGUCGGAUGUGAAAGCCCCCGGCUCAACCGGGGAGGGUCAUUGGAAACUGGGAAACUUGAGUGUGAUAGAGGUAUGUGGAACUCCGAGUGUAGAGGUGAAAUUCGUAGAUAUUCGGAAGAACACCAGUGGCGAAGGCGACAUACUGGAUCAUUACUGACGCUGAGGCUCGAAAGCGUGGGGAGCAAACAGGAUUAGAUACCCCUGUAGUCCCUGUCUCUUAUAC